GCCAGGCGUGGUGGCUCAUGCCUGUAAUCCCAGAACUUUGGGAGGCUGAGGUGGGAGGAUUGCUUGAGCCCAGGAGUUAGAGACCAGCCUGGGCAACACAGCAAGACCCCAUCUCUA
This is a non-coding RNA of Homo sapiens (human), 117 nucleotides long. It matches the Rfam family "Metazoan signal recognition particle RNA". From Rfam's summary of the family: The signal recognition particle (SRP) is a universally conserved ribonucleoprotein. It is involved in the co-translational targeting of proteins to membranes. The eukaryotic SRP consists of a 300-nucleotide 7S RNA and six proteins: SRPs 72, 68, 54, 19, 14, and 9. NCBI's taxonomy places the organism in Eukaryota, Metazoa, Chordata, Mammalia, Primates, Hominidae. The record is from Rfam.